Long non-coding RNA from Octodon degus (degu), 489 nucleotides. RefSeq lists it as uncharacterized. The record is from RefSeq and is a predicted model, not a curated record. The transcript has 3 exons. NCBI's taxonomy places the organism in Eukaryota, Metazoa, Chordata, Mammalia, Rodentia, Octodontidae.
UUGCAAGAGGGUGUGUGUUGCCUCAAGAGGAGAACAGUGUGCUGUUCUCAGGAGGUUCGGGCAGACAAUUCUGUGGAACAUGCUGCAAAACUGCAUUCCCACCCCAGGUCAAUUUCCAGAGGCUCAGGAGGGCCAGUAACAAAAAAAGUCACAAGGUGAAGCAAGCGUUGCUGACUGUGGUCCUGGAAGCCUCACCUUCCCAGGCCUUGCAGCUAGCGAGCCUGGGUCAAGACCCCUGGAAAUGAACUUCAUGCAAUGCGCAAUUUGACACAACUGUGCCAGCUGGAACCCACCUCCAGGAGCUGAGUAGAUAAGAAACCUGAACCAAGAGAGAAUGUAAUGCCUCCUGAAGUUGACAUGAAGUGGUGGGAAAGGACGCCAGCCCAAGCAGUCUGACCUGAAUGCAUUCUUACAUUAUGUUCUGAUUCAAACAUAUGUAUUGUUCCUUGUAUAAAACCUGGAAAAUAUUAAAAAGAACGCAGAAGAAAA